CACUUCGGUCCGGAGUUGAUGGGUUAUCAAUAAUUGUUUCGUUUCCUGCUCGCAGGAGACAACUCCCAUCAACACCAACUUGACCGAAAU
Small RNA from Caenorhabditis briggsae, 90 nucleotides. It matches the Rfam family "Nematode sRNA ceN72-3_ceN74-2". The record is from Rfam. NCBI's taxonomy places the organism in Eukaryota, Metazoa, Nematoda, Chromadorea, Rhabditida, Rhabditidae.